UUUUGUUUUAGUAUAUUAGUACAAAAAUUUUUGAAAUUUUUAGAAAAAGUUAAACUCUUUUAAACUAAAG
RNAcentral lists this transfer RNA (70 nucleotides) under Scirtothrips dorsalis. Its description in RNAcentral is "tRNA-Gln". It matches the Rfam family "tRNA". From Rfam's summary of the family: Transfer RNA (tRNA) molecules are approximately 80 nucleotides in length. The record is from RNAcentral. Lineage: Eukaryota; Metazoa; Arthropoda; Insecta; Thysanoptera; Thripidae.